RNAcentral lists this ribosomal RNA (433 nucleotides) under uncultured bacterium. RNAcentral describes it as "partial 16S ribosomal RNA". It matches the Rfam family "Bacterial small subunit ribosomal RNA", at positions 29 to 507 of the family's 1533-position model. The record is from RNAcentral.
AACGAACGCUGGCGGCAUGCCUAACACAUGCAAGUCGAACGAGACCUUCGGGUCUAGUGGCGCACGGGUGCGUAACGCGUGGGAACCUGCCCUUAGGUUCGGAAUAACUCACCGAAAGGGGUGCUAAUACCGGAUAAUGUCUUCGGACCAAAGAUUUAUCGCCUUUGGAUGGGCCCGCGUUGGAUUAGCUAGUUGGUAGGGUAAAAGCCUACCAAGGCGACGAUCCAUAGCUGGUCUGAGAGGAUGAUCAGCCACACUGGGACUGAGACACGGCCCAGACUCGUACGGGAAGCAGCAGUGGGGAAUAUUGGACAAUGGGCGAAAGCCUGAUCCAGCAAUGCCGCGUGAGUGAUGAAGGCCUUAGGGUUGUAAAGCUCUUUUACCCGGGAUGAUAAUGACAGUACCGGGAGAAUAAGCUCCGGCUAACUCCGUG